This 253-nucleotide ribosomal RNA is filed under the name uncultured bacterium. RNAcentral describes it as "partial 16S ribosomal RNA". It matches the Rfam family "Bacterial small subunit ribosomal RNA", at positions 524 to 776 of the family's 1533-position model. The record is from RNAcentral.
UACGUAGGCAGCAAGCGUUGUUCGGAGUUACUGGGCGUAAAGGGUGCGUAGGCGGCUUUUUAAGUCUGGUGUGAAAUCUCCAGGCUCAACUGGGAGGGUGCGCCGGAUACUGAGGGGCUAGAGUGUGGGAGAGGAAAGUGGAAUUCCUGGUGUAGCGGUGAAAUGCGUAGAUAUCGGGAGGAACAUCGAUGGCGAAGGCAAUCACCUGGGCCUGAACUGACACUGAGACACGAAAGCGUGGGUAGCAAACAGG